AGUGGGUCAGAAGUGAAGGUCAGUAUGGGUCGGCUGGAAGAUUGACGACCUUUGGAGGACUUGGAGGACAUGCACUUCUCACGGCAGUUGUGGAUGUAUAGGUUGAGUAGCUCCUUCUGCUUCAGCCACUGUUUCUGGAGAACAGCCGAAAUCUGUGGAGAACAGACAAUGUGAAAGUUUGUAUGGGAGAGAAAAAGCAAACUCUGAUCUAUCGGAUCUUAGAGAAGUAGCGCUAUGUGUUGUCAACAAGAGCAGUAGCUGCAGCCUCAGUGCCAUUACCUUUGCUUUUCUUUAGAACUAUCUUUUCUUCCAACCUUUGAGGGGAUGAGCGAGUUAUUUUAUACACACAGUAUAGUUCUAGGCACGCCUAAAGUCCUCGGGCAAUACCCUGAAGAUUCACCAGUCAAGGAGGUUGUCAAGAAGGUUUCUUUGAUCGAACGGACAACCAAGGAAUAGUGGAAAGAAUUUAUAAAACUGGAUUGAAGCAAAUGGCUCUCAAAGAAAUCAAUUGAAAUCUUUAACACUAUAGUCUUGUGAUCAAGAAACUAUUUAUAAGAAGCAAGGACACGAGAGAAAAGAUCCAUUUCUUGUGUUUCUUGCAUGAUCACUGUAUCUACAAACUUCCACUUCUCCCUCCAACUCAUAACACAUUUUCAGGGUGGCCAUUGUAGCUGAUUGAGCAACGCCAUAAUUACCAUCGGAUUAUAAAAAAAUAGUUUCUUGAUUCUGAAACUGUUUUUUUCUCUUUCUUAGUCUUGUGGUCAAGAGUCAGAGUUUAUUUAUUUGGUUGAUUAUGCGUUUAACAUGUUUUUAUGCAGUGAAUCGGCGACGAUGGCCCUGAAUCCAGCCGGCCUCCAAAUGUGUUACGAGUUGGAGGAGGGCCUGGAACGAUCUUUCCAUUUGAAGGAGUUCCAGAUCUCACAGCUUGCUUGGUGUCAAUGCUUGGAGGAGAUCCAUUUUCGAAUGCACUAACGUGUUUUGGUCCUGGGUGGAUAGGCGAGCUCCUCCGUUUGAUCACUGCUGGGAGCAUAGGCGAGCUACUUUCUUUAUUCACUGCUGGGUGUAUAGGCGAGCUCUUUCCUUUGAUCACUGUUGUCACUACCGGGAUCUCAAGAGCCUGCGAGAGCUGGACUGUGAAAUCCUGCAAGAGUUUACGAUGAUGCCGUGCUCCUGCUUCAUCAGCAGAAGAAACGAGAGAAGCAGCAGAAGCUCCAACGUGUUCCUGGUGAAUUUCUCCAGCCAGGAGCAGCAGCAGCAGCAGCAGCUGGAAGAUCAGACGAGUUUCCAUGAUCCGACACUUCCGAGCGCUUUUGCUUUGAUCUCCUCCAACUCUGGACAACGUUUGUUCUUCCUGUUCAAAUGGAAUCGCUUGCUCUCUCCAACUUUUGCUGGACUUCCAGUUCCAAUGGGAUCGCAGCUUUUGCUCUUCCCGUUCCAAUGGGAUUGCUUCUUCUCACUUGGAGAUACCCCAGCUUCAUUAAUGACUUUUAUACACGGCUCCAUCCGUCCCGGAAAAACUUUGAAAAAUCAUCCGUCAAAAACACGCUGUUUCGUUUGAACGAGAAUCUCGUUCCCUCCCGGUGAAACAAAAACAUUCCUGAACUUUGAAUCCUCGCCUACGAACGAAAGUAACAAGGCGACGUAUGGAAGUUGUAGAGCAAAACGGAGAAAGUCUCCAGCUCGUGUAAGUCAAGUCCAUCUCUCGCUACUUCUUUCCCCGAUGCUGCCCAAACGAAACUCGUCCACAGUAGCGUGUCCGCCUCGUAUGGCAUGUGUAGAAUGUGAUCCAUGGCGAGAGAUGGCGGAUCGCUACUCAUACCAUUUGGCUCGUAUGGCAUGUGUAGUCGUGGAUGUGGCCACACUGCCCCAUGGCGUGGACCAUGCAGCUGUAGUGCUCCCGUGGCGGUCCGACCAAAGUCAAAUUUCGUUGACCUCCACCUGGCGCUGCCGGGGCUCCCCGUUGACUUAUGGCGACCAGGGUGGCGGUCAUCGUGAUGCAGUCGGGUGGCACUGUGAGGAGCAUCUCGUGAAACAGGGAGAGCGCCUCAUGGGACAUUGGGUGGUUAGUAAGCGCCAAGCAUUGCGUUCCUCCAUGUUGUCAAACAGAUUCUUUGCCUGCUAGCACUGUGAAUAUGCAGAGAGCAUCGUGUUCCAGGACGUGAGGUCCUUCUGCGGCAUUGUAUGAAACAAGAAUUGAGCGUUUUCAAGAUGCCCAAUUUUGGGCAUAUGCCGCGAGCAUUCACAACGUUGUAGCAGUUAAAUAGGGACCGACUCUCCAUUCAUGGACACAAGCAAAGAAACCAGAGAAAUCAAGAGAGAUCAACAUCUGAACCACCACAACACACUACAGAACACCAUCCAGCGCCCAUCACUUCUCUCCUGCCAUCCUCUCUCUCCAACCAAGAACUCAACCGUCGGUUAAGGUUCGACUAAACUACCUUACGCUCCUUUAUUCUGAGAAACAGCCAUCAACGUGGCCCUUUCUAGGCAUAUGUCGUUAGAAUGGUGUUCCACGUCAGUAGGCUCCCGGGGCAGUGUCGAAGAAGUCCAGCCGCACUCUGGCCAUUUGUUGACAUUCAUUCCAACCCUAAAGUUUCUUGGAGAAUGGCGGCGCCGAAUCCAAAGACGGCGCCGGUGCUAUCGUGUGUUUGAUCGCAUUGUUUCUUCCGAGAUUUUUGGACAACGAGAAUGUGAACGAGGGGAUUCUCCACGUGGUUUCAUUCCGUUUGGCGACAUCAAGGACGUGACAAUGCCCCUGAAUCAAGGGACGAUGGGGCGGCGGCCAUGGACAACAUGCACAACUCGGAGCUCUUUCGCUAAGUGUUGACGGUGAAUUACCCGCAGCCCAUGAAGAUCAAGGGAAGAACAGGGCUGGGCAUCUCAACCAAGUGAGUUUUCUCUUCCAUUUCCCUUCUUCCUCGUUUUUUUUUGCGUUAGAGUAUAUGGAUUUGCUGAAGAUUUCUUUUCUUUUUCUUCUUGUUCUUCGUUCUUCAUUCCUAUAGGAAGUCAAUUGUUUUCUCUUUUCUACUUCUCUUGCCUUUGGUUCACUAGAUACUUUGUUUGUCAGUUCUUUCUCUAAACUAUUACUUUUCUUCUUGUCUCUUUGAUUUUUCUUUGCCAUUUGUUUCACGACAGCUUCGUCUUACCUUGUUGAUUUGGAAUUCUAUCUUUGCAGUUUUGGCCGAUGCCGAGCGACAGCAGCGGGAGCUAGAGAUGAAGAAGCUCAAGGCCGAGCAGGAUGCCACGGUCAAGGCGGUGCAAGAGGCCGAGAGGAAGAAGCUCUUGGAUGCCCUCGAGGGAGAAGUGGAAGAACCGGAAGAGCCUGAAACUACCAUGCCUGUAGAUCCUGCAAUCUUGCAAGAAACGCAAGAAGUGGAGGUCCUUUGGUAUGCUUUCUUUUCUCUCGUGUCCUUGGUCUUUCCCUUACAGAGCAAAAUAGUGUGCAGAAAUCUGGAACUGGAGGUAGUUUGAUCUGUAAGGAAAUCUUUCUAGUUAUACAGUGUUGAUGAAAAAAAGGGAGCAUUUUUUAUGAGUGGGUCAGAAGUGAAGGUCGGUAAAAGAAUGAGUUCCUUCUGAUAAAAUCAGCUGCCGAUGGUCCUAGAGGAUGUAUGGGCCGGCUAAAAGCUAUGUCACUAAGAGGGCCCAGAAUGAUGACCUUUGGAGGACUUGGAGGACAACGGCGGCUGUGAAUGUAUAGGUUGGCUGGCUCCGUAGUAUUUCUCGCUUCUGCAAGAGCUUACGGUGGUGCGAGCUUGCUCCUUGGCAAGAAGAAUCAGAACGAGCAGUGGCAGCUCCUCUUUGAUCUGCAGUAAAGAGCAGCAAGUGGGGAAAGGCCAUGGGUUCAAAAGAACUCAUACAUUCGCUUAAGGAUAAAUGCUUGAAAACUUAACUUUGGCUACUUUUGCACUUUCUUAUGGAUAAAGUUACUGCAGCCAAUGCUCUCGCACUGACUUAAGAACAAGCGAAAUCUGUGGAGAACAAACAAAGUGAAAGUUUGUAUGGACAAGAAGAAGCACUGAUCUAUCGGAUCUUAGAGAAGCAGUGUUGUGUGUUAAGAGCAGGAACAGCAGCUUCAGUCGAUCAAGAUGCUUUGCUUUAGAACUAUCUCUACUUCCACCUUUGCCGUGAUGAGUUCUGGGCGUGUGGAAAGUCCUUGGUCAAGGAGGUUGUCAAGGAGGUUUCUUUGAUCGAACAGGCAACCAAGGAAUUCCAAAGCAGGUCCACGGAUUCUUUAAGAAAAAGCAAGAUGGAAACAAGGAACUAGAGAAGAAAAAUAUAUGAGCAGGAUAGGUUUUCAUGAAGAUCAAGGGAGGAGAACAGGGCUGGGCAUCUCAACCAAGUGAGUUUUCUUCCAUUUCCUUUCUUCCUUGUUUUUUUGUCAUUAGAUUAAGGUACACAUUAUUUCCUUUAGGUGGAUUUAGAUUUCUUUUCUUUUUCUUCACAAGUUCCUCAUUCCUAUAAGAAGUCAGUUGUUUUAUCUUUUCUACUUCUCUUGCCUUUGGUUCACUAGAUACUUUGUUUGUCAGUACUUUCUCUCAACUAUUAUUUUUCUUCUUGUCUCUUUGAUUUUGCUUUGCUAUUUGUUUCGUCGUCUUACUUUGUUGGAAUUCUAUCUUUGCAGUUUGGGCGGAUGCCGAAACGUGGUUUGAGCGUCAACAGCAGGGGCUAGAGAUGAAGAAGCUCAAGGCCGAGCAGGAUGCGACAGUCAAGGCAGCUCAAGAGGCUGAGAGAAAGAAGCUCUUGGAUGCCCUCGAGGGAGAAGUGGAAGAACCAGAAGAGCCAGAAGUCACAAUGCCUUUUGACCCUGCGAUCAUGCAAGGGACGCAAGAAGCAGAGGUCCCUUGGUAUGCAUUCUUUUUAUCUUGUGUCCUUGCUUUCGGUGUCUGAUCUUUCCCUUACAGAGCAGAACAGUGUACUUCUCUUCUGGAUUAUCUGGAACUGCAGGUAGUUUGAUCUGUAAGGAAACCUUCGGUAUUUGAUGAAUGUUGUCAGGUCUUCCACGUUCCUAUGAAAAAAAAAGGAGCAUUGUAUGAGUGGGUCAGAAGUGAAGGUCAGUAUGGGUCGGCUGGGACCUUUGGAGGACUUGGAGGACAUGUACUUCUCACGGCAGUUGUGGAUGUAUAGGUUGAGUAGCUCCUUCUGCUUCAGCCACUGUUUCUGGAGAACAGCCGAAAUCUGUGGAGAACAAACAAUGUGAAAGUUUGUAUGGAAGAGAAAAAGCAAACUCUGAUCUAUCGGAUCUUAG
Molecule: long non-coding RNA, 5245 nt
Filed under: Selaginella moellendorffii
Lineage: Eukaryota; Viridiplantae; Streptophyta; Lycopodiopsida; Selaginellales; Selaginellaceae
Description: long non-coding RNA (SMOE_LNC000510)
Source: RNAcentral